AUAUUGCAAAUGAACAGAGAACAUCACUUUAAGGUGCGUCCACAUUUGUAUCAUUUGCGCGAUCAGAUCUCCGAUCGAUCUCCGUCGCGAUCAUCGCGCCGUAUCAAGUAUGCGUU
Molecule: long non-coding RNA, 116 nt
Organism: Aricia agestis (brown argus)
Lineage: Eukaryota; Metazoa; Arthropoda; Insecta; Lepidoptera; Lycaenidae
Exons: 4
Source: RefSeq, a predicted model, not a curated record